UACGGAGGAUUCAAGCGUUAUCCGGAUUUAUUGGGUUUAAAGGGUGCGUAGGCGGUCGGAUAAGUUAGAGGUGAAAUCCCGAGGCUCAACUUCGGAAUUGCCUCUGAUACUGUUCGGCUAGAGAGUAGUUGCGGUAGGCGGAAUGUAUGGUGUAGCGGUGAAAUGCUUAGAGAUCAUACAGAACACCGAUUGCGAAGGCGGCUUACUGGACCGUAACUGACGUUGAGGCUCGAAAGCGUGGGGAGCAAACAGG
RNAcentral lists this ribosomal RNA (253 nucleotides) under uncultured Rikenellaceae bacterium. RNAcentral describes it as "partial 16S ribosomal RNA". It matches the Rfam family "Bacterial small subunit ribosomal RNA", at positions 524 to 776 of the family's 1533-position model. The record is from RNAcentral. Lineage: Bacteria; Pseudomonadati; Bacteroidota; Bacteroidia; Bacteroidales; Rikenellaceae.